Molecule: long non-coding RNA, 799 nt
Organism: Daphnia pulex (common water flea)
Lineage: Eukaryota; Metazoa; Arthropoda; Branchiopoda; Diplostraca; Daphniidae
Exons: 3
Source: RefSeq, a predicted model, not a curated record
AACACAGCACGGAGUUUUACACUUUAAAUUUUUGGCUGUUCGCAAUUUGUGAUGGCGUUUCCUUGGACGAGAUAUGAUUUGGCGAGAAAAAUAUUGCGUGAGUAUCUCAUAUUUGAUCUUUAUAUUGUCUUUUACGUCAUUGUUAUUUAUGAAUUUAAUGUCGACGAGGUAGAGCAGGGACGUGUUUGUUUUCAAGUUUUCUUUCUGUUCAAGUUUUGCGAGUAUUUCAAGGACUCAUCUACACUUACGUCUACCUAAUGUCUAUCUAAUAUUUAGGGACGAUUUCAUGCUGUCCUUUACCAUGGACCAAUCUCUCAUUCCAUCUUCUAGAGAACUUUGGAUAACUGAUUGGUGGUUUCAUGUAUCAGACAUCAAGCACAUUGAUGACACAAAUCAUAAACAAGGUUACUUUUUUUAAUUUUAUUUACGGGUUCCAAGUUACUUGUUUCUAAAUUGUCAUGGCAGACUUUAUGAGAAGUAAUGUCCUUUCAAGAAAGGAACAAGGUCCCUUAUUUGCUAAUCCAAUAGCUGCUACCCUUGAAUCUCCCCUUUUACUUCCUUAAACGGGCCUUCUUGAUUUGAGCGGAUUUGAGGGUAAUCCUUUGCUUCUUAUUGUGGACUUCAACCAUUGCUGGAAGCCUGGAAACCAACCUUGAGAGCAUGCUGUCAUUCAAGACUGUUGGAAUUGUGUAGUUAGCUAAAUUACAAGUGCAUAUCUGGGCUCCCUUCUUUUCUAUGGCCCCGUUUCCCUAACUAACCACUAACCAACGCCCGCCGGUGGUCACUCACCCGCUGUGAA